GGACGUGAUCGCCACGGUUCUCAUCGCGGUGGCUGUGUACUGCGUCUCGUCCCAGCAGAGGAGUGGAGCCUACAUUGGCAAUAAAGCUUCCGACAGACAGAACCUCCUCAUGAACGAUGGCAACAGCAUGGUGUAUGAGCCGCUGCGUGAGCGAGACGAUGGAGCCUACAGCAAACUGG
Long non-coding RNA from Polyodon spathula (Mississippi paddlefish), 179 nucleotides. RefSeq lists it as uncharacterized. NCBI's taxonomy places the organism in Eukaryota, Metazoa, Chordata, Actinopteri, Acipenseriformes, Polyodontidae. The record is from RefSeq and is a predicted model, not a curated record. The transcript has 3 exons.